CGGAUGCGGCGGCCUAGCCCUCAGCACCCAUUCCCACCUUCCUCCAGCCUGCCUUCCUGGACUGCGGGGGCCGGACACGGGAGAACACAUGCUGUACUACUAUCUCGUUCCCACAACGUCCAAGACCAGGUGCAACUAAUCCAAGAUAUCCACAACAGCUGAGGCUGGGCUGCAGCGGGGCGCCAGGAACUCAGCCACGUCUCCCACGGGAGUGGCAGAAACGCAAUCAACUGAGUUCCACCGCUGCCCCCUGGGGCGCCUGCAUUAGGAGGAAGCUGGAGUGAGGAGCGGAACCAGAGCGGAAAGCAGGGUGAGGACUCAGACACUGGGUGCAGACUCUCAGAGGCUCCACCGCCUGCUGCCUGAACAACAGUGACGAUCCAGGCCCUUUGCAGCUGCAAGACAGGGGUCACCCUCUAGCCACUGCGCUGGCUGUUUCCAGGCGGAAGGAAGCAGCUUCCAGGCUCCUGGAGCCAGACCUGUUGCUGCAGACACCCUGGAGGUCUUCUUGUUUGCAGGGGCUUUUAGUGGGGUUAAAGGUUAUUGUCCCUUUAAGAGCAUUGUUCUCGAUCAUUGAUCAUUUAGUUCAGGGUUUCCCUACCCCUGGUGGGGAGCAGGUAGUGAACUGGGGAGGGGGGAAAUGUGUUGGUUGAUUUCCUUCAUUAUGUAUUUGUUCCCUUUUAUUCACAGCAACUUAGAAUUGCAUUAUAACACUUUUAAAACCCACCUAAUUUUCAAACACCGACUUGAGAAAAUUAACCUAGGUGAAACACAGAUGCGAUAAAUGCCUAAAGUCUCAGGCAGGCUGUUGUAGUUGAACCUCCUCACUGCUGGAAGGAGAACCUGAAGCAAGGCCCGAGCCUCAGUUUCCUUGUCCUGAAAAUGAAGAUAAAGCCGUCCACGUUGUGGGGUAGGGGUGAGAAUUCAGUAACACACAGAAGGCCCUUAACACGGCGCCGGGGAUAUGAGCGGCUUAUCCACCAGGGACGAGGAACCCUACGUGAGGAUCCCUGUCUUUCUGGAUUGCGGGAUCCCCUAGUGCAAAACAGAGGCACAGGUCAGAGGAUUUCUGCAGGGCCUCCCUGUCCUCUGCUCUCACUGGCCCCAAACACUGGCCCCAGCGAGUGCAGAGAACGGAAGCCACUUCCUCCCCACAUCUAGUUCCCCAUCAUGCUUGGUGCAUGGAGGCACUGAGGUCCCACUGCUAGCCUGGGGACUUCAGCCCUGGGCCUCAGCUGCCUCCUGUCCUUCCUCCUGCCCCAGCCCACCACAGGAGAAGGUCGCGGAAGGCUGAGCGCUCUGUGGGCGCCGCUUCCUGGUGCUCUCCCUUUGCUUUCCUCCUGUUGCGUUUUCACAAGCCUGGUUUUAGGGUGACGACAGCCAUUUUUCCUGUGUUUCUCAGUUGGGAGAUCCCGGUCCCCAGCAGCCCGCCAUGGUGGCAGGCUGGAAGCCCUUCCCCUGCUCUUCAGGACAGCGUCUUUGCCUUGGGAGGUACUGCAGGGGUGCAGUUAGAGAUGGGGUGAGUGCCCCAUCCCCAUGCUAGGAAGUCAGAGGAACAGCAUGAUCAGUGCAGCCCAGCAGGCAGGGUUUGAAUCCUGGUUUUUUUUCUUCACCCUAUGCAGCUCUGUGAUCUUGGACAAGCUACUGUUUUUACCCCUCUCUGUGCCUCAGUUUUCUCAUCUGUAAAACAGAGAUCCUGACACCCACGAAGCCAAGGGUGUUAUAAGGUCUCAGUGAGCACAGUUGAUCCUUUAUUAGUAUUUUGUUUCACUAGUCCUCACUGAGUACACGUGAAAGGCUGCUAACAGCCUAGGGAGAGAGAACUGACAGAAGGCUGCAGGAGGUCGGGCAAAACUUUUUCCUGUGGGCUCCACCUGGUCCAUGUGUAAAAUGGGAUAACUCACCACCUUUGACAACAGGCCCUGGCAGCUGGUCAACCUACUUAAGCACUGGUGGCCUUCUGAGUUUAAAAAUCUACUUAAUUGAUCAUAUUAAGUAUGGAAUUGAUCAUAUACAUAGGACCAUCAGUCAAAGGGAUCACAUAAAUAAGACCAAGUGUCCGGUAAUAACAAUAGAUAGAAUUGCAAAGGAGAGAAAGCUCCAACAUGGGAAGCAGUCCACACAGCUGACUCAUAGAAUGACAAACACCCUAAACAGCACUCUGACCUCAGAAUCAGCCCCUAAGGCCUUUCUGAAAACACCAUGAGAGCACUUCAGGCAUGGAAAGCCAAGACAUAGUGGCAAAAAUGGUUCUGCAUGAAGGAUCUCUAUGAGUGAGACCCCAGUGGAAAGAAGGGGCUAUCAAAGAAGGAGGUACCUUUCUCUGAAGGGAGGAGAGAACUUCCAUUUUGCAUAUGGCCCUGUCUAAAAACCGAUGGCAUUUGUGAACUCAAAAGGCUUCCAUAGCCUUGGCAGCUCAUGUCAAGAGCCUUGGGUGAUACUUACGUCAUAAUUAAGAGUAUCAGUUGUUAAAUCAACAACAGGAAUCACUGUGUACUUGCUCCCCAUGCUGGACCUCUGUCCUUAAUGAGUUGUAUUAUGAAAAUUAACAGUAAAACUAGUCUUCAAACUGUUCUUAAUACUUUGUAUGUCUGUGUGGGUGCAAAUAGUUGAAAUCUAGUUGGUCUUCUGUAUAUAAAGUCAAUUAAAAACGAAUCUUAAUGGAAAAUGGAACAGGAGAGGGAGUGGGAGGUGGGAUGGGAGUGAGAGUGGGAGGGCAGGAAUGGGGGAAGAAACACUAUAUCCCUAAAAGCUGUACAUAUGAAAAUUUGUAUUCAUUAAAUAAAAACCUUCAAAAAAUUAAAAAAGGCAAAUUAGCCUAAUCAUUAUAAAAAAAAAUCUACUUAAUCUGCUCUGCCUUCAAGCAGCACUUCUAGCUGCUAGAGCUCUUUGAAUGCAGUACAAGGAAAAUGACUAAUAAAGUCAGUACUAAAAGGGAAUUCCGCAGUAGGUUUUAAAUAUUUCUUACUCUCUGUGCCCCUUGAAUGAGAUCACAAACAGUACAAUCUUUAAAACAUAUCAGUUAUUGUCCCAUUGCUCAGAACAAAUAUAAACAUAUCCAUUGCCUACUCAAAUUUGAGGAGCCAUCUUUGUUUAAAAAAUAUACUUACGGAGAGAAUAAUACGAUAAACACAUACAAACUGGGAAUUCUGUCCUAUUCUUGCAACUUUUUGAAGUCUGAAACGUUUCAAAAUAAAAGGCUAAAUAAAGGGGCAGGCAAGAGUUCCAGCCCCAGCUUGAAGUGGGGUUCACGUCCGGGUGUGGAGAUGAACCUGAGGCCUGCGUGUGAUCUGGCUGCACCCCCAGCUCCCAAAACCAAGCACCCUGGUCUUCCUCUUUGUGCUUUUUAAGCUGUUUGUCUUUCUUUUUUUCCACAGGCAGAGUUAGACAGUGAGAGAGAGACAGAGAGAGAGUUAUAGACAGUGAGAGAGAGAGGUCUUCCUUAUGUUGAUUCAACCCUCUAAUGGCCGCUAUGGCCGGCGCUGCACGAUCUGAAGCCAGGAGCCAGGUGCUUCCUCCUGGUCUCCCAUGCGGGUGCAGGGACCCAAGCACUUUGGGCCAUCCUCCGCUGCCCUCCGGGGCCACAGCAGAGAGCUGGACUGGAAGAGGAGCAACUGGAACUAGUACCCACCGCCCCAACCGGGACUAGAACCAGGGGUGCCGGCACCACAGGCAGAGGAUUAACCAAUUGAGCCACAGCGCCGGCCCUAAGCUGUUUGUCUUUUGUCCUCCUUUGCAGGGGUGUGCUAGGCAGAUCCGAGGCUCCCGCCUUAUUACUUUGGAGCACAGAAUCGCAGACCAUAGACAGCAGGGACUGGAAUAGAGCAGGGGCCUGCAGUUUCCUUGACAGCUAACUCAGACCGCAAGUAAAGAAACAGGUUCCAGCGCUGGAACUAUGUCUACUGCUUCCCAUCCUUCGGACAGGAGUUGUCAUUCAUUCUUGUAUAUAAAGUGCCCUCCUCUCCCGCUCCAAGCAGAAGGAAUCCAAACUUGUACUGAAGUGCACACACCUGCCUCACCGCUGGAUGAGCACUUACCACCUGGAAUUGGGCUGCUGCGCCCCCUCGUGGGCAGAGUGGGGAAGCACAGUUCCUGCAGAGAUGGUUGCCUGUACAUGCUAACAGCAAUUUUCUGUCACAGCAAUGCACAGGCCACAAAGCUGCUUGGAGGCAAAGCCUUUCCUGAGUAUAGAGCAGGAUACUCUACUAUGCAUGGCUGGGCUUGAAGCAGGUUUUUCCGCCGGAAGACAAGAUGUGGCAUGGUGCCCAGUUUCAGCUCAUUCUGCAUGAGGGGAUGUUCGUGAUCACCCCCAUAGCUGAGCCUCAAGGCCAGGGGCUGCUUCAAGUUGGGGGCCACUCCAGGCACAUGGCCCCUCCACCGCUUCUGCUCUUGGCUUUGCUCCUGUACAUUGACAUCCCCGCUGAGAACCUGCUCUCUGUCUGGAUAUUCUAUUGCAAAGACUAUGGUGUGGGAGUGAGCAUGCAGUUCUGUAGGAUUGGUUACUAGAAAUGGAGCUGCUGAAUUAAGGCUGCUGAUGUUCAGGUUCUGUUGCCCGUGUGUGGUGGACAUCUGCUUCUGCUCCUAGCAGGCUCAAGAGACUAUACCUGUCAGUACGGUGAGUCCAGGACAUCUAAGGAGGAAAUGCCCGGAAACAUCAAGUGGUAGCUGAGGGCCUUAGAGAAGUCAGGUGGGGCUGGAGCCAGCAGCAGCAGCAGACUCUGGGUCUGAGCAGUGUGCUCUUAGGUGAGGAAAAUGGGUUGUUCCAGGAGAAAUCUGGGUGUUUAGUCCUGAUGAAGGAGCGAUGUUUAAUGCCCCAGGGGAGAUGGUUUCAUUUAUCUGCUGGGUACUAAGUGCACACUAACUGUGUGUACACCUUGUGGUAGGUCUCUAACCUAGCCGAGAGUCGGAACCACAUGCACCAAAACACUAAAGCUCAAUGGUCAACAGUUUGCUUUUGAAGUCAGGCAGGACUGGGCUUGACUGUGUAACUGCAAAAGGUUGAGCGAUGGCCCCAAGACAAGACUCCAAGACUUUGCAGAUAUGAGUAAAGUAAGAGCCUCGAGAUUAGGAGAUUAUUCUGGAUUACCCAAGUGGGCCCUAAAUGGAGCCCAGUAUCUUCAUAAGAGGGAGCCAGAGGGAGAUUUGACCAUGGAAAAGAGAUAAGGAGAUUAUGUGAUGGAUGCAGAGAUGCUACGCAAAGACCAGGGAAGGGGGCAGGGCCAAAAAAUGCACAAAAUGUCCUUCUAGAAAUGGAAAAACCCAGGGAGCAGUUUCCUCUGGCCCUUCUGACACUUUCAGCUUAGCCCAGUGCAACUGGUCUUUAGUUUCUGGCCUUUAGAACAAUAAGAGAAGACAUCUGUGUGGUUUCAAGGCACCAAGUUUGUGACAGUUCCUUACACCAGUGGUAGGCAGCUGACAUAAGCAAGGGAAAGGACUUCACCCCAAGCGUCAGUCAGGUGGGAAUAACACCUUGAUUCAUCACACACAUUUUGAGUCUCCCAUGAGCCAGGCUGGUGGGUGCUGGACUCUGGGGCAAAGGAGUCCCUCCCACUUUCUUGGAGGCUAAAUUCCAGCUGGAGGGCACAAACCACCAUGGGCAAGCAAGCACGUAAGCAGGAGAACCACAGGCUAUGAAAGAAAGAGCAGGGCUGUGAUGGAGAGACUGGGCUGGCAGAGGGGCUGGCUUUGGAUAGGAUGGCAGGGGAGACCCUGGGAGGAGAACACACUGGAGCCAAGACCAGCCAGGCAAAAAGCAGAGGGUCCACAGCUCAGGCACAGGGAGCAGCAGGUGCAGAUGUGCGAGGAGGGGAAGGGCAGUGUUUGUUGGAGACAAGGAGCAGGUUCGCGCACAGUGGAAUGCUGCUGGCGGAGACAAACAGGGUGAGGGCGGAAGGGUGGCAGGGGCCAGAGCGUGCGGGGUAUGUGGGCUGUAGUGAGGAGUGUUGACUGCAUUCCCCCAAACAAUUUGGAGCAGGGGAGGUUUUAAGCAAGGUGGCUCAUCACUGGCUGCUGUAAGGAAAUGGAAUUCAGGCAACGAAACUAGUUAGAAAGUUAGUGCUGCCUUCCAAGGGAGAGAUGUUGCUGGCUUGGAUAGAGGUGGUGAAAAUAUUAAAUAACAUAAUGAAUAUUGAAUCCCUGGCAUAUAGUAUGCACUCAGUAAGCAGUAGCUCUUGAUCUGGGAUGAUGGUGAUAGUGGUGGUGGCAGUCAGUCACCAUCACCAUCACCAUCACCAUCAUCAUCAUCAUACUUAGUUUUUGCUGGAAGCAAACAGCUGAAUGAAAUGUGACUGUGUUGAAUGUGCAGUGUGGAUGCCUGCAACAAGUCAGAGAGGUCCCAUCAAGCCCUCAUCCCCGCUCAUCAGGGGAAGCUGUUGCUGAAGCCAUGAACUCCUUCCUUCUCCCCAAUGCACCCUCUGCCAGCAGGUCCAGAAACCUAGAAAACAGAGCCCUUAUCCACACACAUGAAUAGGCAACACAGCUGUGCAGGGCUCCUGAGGGUCAGCUUGUAGUUUGACAGCCUCCACAGUUGGUCCGAUGGACCUUUGGUGAGCUGACCAAAUACGUGGUAUUUGCGUGAAAUCCCCUGAAGACAUCUUACGUGGGCCCCUCUGUGUGACUCCAGCCGUCUCACACCUGAGCACACGCAUGCAAACUCUCUCGUCUCCACCUCCUCAGCACUGCGCCAGCCCAGGCUCCCACCGUCUCUCCCUGACUCAGCCACCACCUCCUCACAGGCUUCCCUGCUUCCUCUCUUGCUCUUCUGUCCUCCAUUCUCCAUGAAAAUCUUUCCAAACCCUGACACACAUUAAAUGACUCCCUAAUUUUUUUUUUUUUUUUGACAGGCAGAGUGGACAGUGAGAGAGAGAGACAGAGAGAAAGGUCUUCCUUUGCCGUUGGUUCACCCUCCAAUGGCCGCCGCGGCCGGCGUGCUGCGGCCAGUGCACCGCGCUGAUCCGAUGGCAGGAGCCAGGAGCCAGGUGCUUUUCCUGGUCUCCCAUGGGGUGCAGGGCCCAAGCACCUGGGCCAUCCUCCACUGCACUCCCUGGCCACAGCAGAGAGCUGGCCUGGAAGAGGGGCAACCGGGACAGAAUCCGGCGCCCCCACCGGGACUAGAACCCAGUGUGCCGGCGCCGCUAGGCGGAGGAUUAGCCUAGUGAGCCGCGGCGCCAGCCGACUCCCUAAUUCUUUACCUUGAGCUGCAAACCUUCCUGGCCCAAGCCCUCAUCUGAGCUCUGUCCCCUAUGCGCACAGAAUUCAGGUCACCCUGGAUCUCUCCACUGCCUACGCCUGCCUUCUCCCUUACACCUGCUGCCCCUGCCUAACCACCAGCCUCAGUCUCCGAUGUCCCACAGCUGCCUCCUCCUCUUCAGAUCUUGGCUUCAACGCCACCUUCUCAAAAUCCUUACCUGACAGCUUUCUCUCCAUCGCCUCCUCCCUCCCACCCUCAUCAUCCUCUGCAACAUCAUCAUGGUCAUUUUCUUCAAGGCAUGAACCACCAUUUUCAGUUAUUCCUUUCUU
Molecule: non-coding RNA, 7518 nt
Organism: Oryctolagus cuniculus (rabbit)
Lineage: Eukaryota; Metazoa; Chordata; Mammalia; Lagomorpha; Leporidae
Source: RefSeq, a predicted model, not a curated record